CACUCCUACGGGAGGCAGCAGUGGGGAAUUUUGGACAAUGGGCGAAAGCCUGAUCCAGCCAUGCCGCGUGCAGGAUGAAGGCCUUCGGGUUGUAAACUGCUUUUGUACGGAACGAAACGGCCUUUUCUAAUAAAGAGGGCUAAUGACGGUACCGUAAGAAUAAGCACCGGCUAACUACGUGCCAGCAGCCGCGGUAAUACGUAGGGUGCAAGCGUUAAUCGGAAUUACUGGGCGUAAAGCGUGCGCAGGCGGUUAUGUAAGACAGUUGUGAAAUCCCCGGGCUCAACCUGGGAACUGCAUCUGUGACUGCAUAGCUAGAGUACGGUAGAGGGGGAUGGAAUUCCGCGUGUAGCAGUGAAAUGCGUAGAUAUGCGGAGGAACACCGAUGGCGAAGGCAAUCCCCUGGACCUGUACUGACGCUCAUGCACGAAAGCGUGGGGAGCAAACAGGAUUAGAAACCCUAGUAGUCCCAUG
RNAcentral lists this ribosomal RNA (474 nucleotides) under uncultured organism. RNAcentral's name for it is "partial 16S ribosomal RNA". It matches the Rfam family "Bacterial small subunit ribosomal RNA", at positions 334 to 799 of the family's 1533-position model. The record is from RNAcentral.